GCGUAAAGAGCUCGUAGGUGGUUUGUCGCGUUGUUCGUGAAAUCUCACGGCUUAACUGUGAGCGUGCGGGCGAUACGGGCAGACUUGAGUACUGCAGGGGAGACUGGAAUUCCUGGUGUAGCGGUGGAAUGCGCAGAUAUCAGGAGGAACACCGGUGGCGAAGGCGGGUCUCUGGGCAGUAACUGACGCUGAGGAGCGAAAGCGUGGGGAGCGAACAGGAUUAGAUACCCUGGUAGUCCACGCCGUAAACGGUGGGUACUAGGUGUGGGUUUCCUUCCUUGGGAUCCGUGCCGUAGCUAACGCAUUAAGUACCCCGCCUGGGGAGUACGGCCGCAAGGCUAAAACUCAAAGAAAUUGACGGGGGCCCGCACAAGCGGCGGAGCAUGUGGAUUAAUUCGAUGCAACGCGAAGAACCUUACCUGGGUUUGACAUGCACAGGACGCCGGCAGAGAUGUCGGUUCCCUUGUGGCCUGUGUGCAGGUGGUGCAUGGCUGUCGUCAGCUCGUGUCGUGAGAUGUUGGGUUAAGUCCCGCAACGAGCGCAACCCUUGUCUCAUGUUGCCAGCGGGUAAUGCCGGGGACUCGUGAGAGACUGCCGGGGUCAACUCGGAGGAAGGUGGGGAUGACGUCAAGUCAUCAUGCCCCUUAUGUCCAGGGCUUCACACAUGCUACAAUGGCCGGUACAAAGGGCUGCGAUGCCGCGAGGUUAAGCGAAUCCUUUUAAAGCCGGUCUCAGUUCGGAUCGGGGUCUGCAACUCGACCCCGUGAAGUCGGAGUCGCUAGUAAUCGCAGAUCA
Molecule: ribosomal RNA, 795 nt
Filed under: uncultured Mycobacterium sp.
Lineage: Bacteria; Bacillati; Actinomycetota; Actinomycetes; Mycobacteriales; Mycobacteriaceae
Description: bacterial SSU rRNA
Rfam family: Bacterial small subunit ribosomal RNA
Source: RNAcentral